RNAcentral lists this ribosomal RNA (676 nucleotides) under uncultured bacterium. RNAcentral's name for it is "bacterial SSU rRNA". It matches the Rfam family "Bacterial small subunit ribosomal RNA", at positions 636 to 1312 of the family's 1533-position model. The record is from RNAcentral.
UNUGACUUGAGUGCAGAAGGGGAGAGUGGAACUCCAUGUGUAGCGGUGAAAUGCGUAGAUAUAUGGAGGAACACCAGUGGCGAAAGCGGCUCUCUGGUCUGUCACUGACGCUGAGGCUCGAAAGCGUGGGUAGCGAACAGGAUUAGAUACCCUGGUAGUNCACGCCGUAAACGAUGAGUGCUAGGUGUUAGGCCCUUUCCGGGGCUUAGUGCCGGGGCUAACGCAAUAAGCACUCCGCCUGGGGAGUACGACCGCAAGGUUGAAACUCAAAGGAAUUGACGGGGGCCCGCACAAGCGGUGGAGCAUGUGGUUUAAUUCGAAGCAACGCGAAGAACCUUACCAGGUCUUGACAUCCCGAUGCUAUUCUUAGAGAUAGGAAGUUACUUCGGUACAUCGGAGACAGGUGGUGCAUGGUUGUCGUCAGCUCGUGUCGUGAGAUGUUGGGUUAAGUCCCACAACGAGCGCAACCCUUAUUGUUAGUUGCCAUCAUUAAGUUGGGCACUCUAGCGAGACUGCCGGUAAUAAACCGGAGGAAGGUGGGGAUGACGUCAAAUCAUCAUGCCCCUUAUGACCUGGGCUACACACGUGCUACAAUGGUCGGUACAACGAGUUGCGAGCCGGUGACGGCAAGCUAAUCUCUGAAAGCCGAUCUCAGUUCGGAUUGGAGGCUGCAACU